CAGAACCUGCAUUCCUCAGGUGUUAGCUAAUAUCGUUAACCACCAGCUGUGCUGUAUCUGUUUUAGCCAAAGAUAAACCGAAGCAUUACAUGGUUAGUCAAAGAGAGAUAAUGUACUUUAUUGGGCCAAACUGUUUCACACCAUCUCUAUUGUGCUUCAUUACUUGCUUUAUUAAUAACCUCCCUCCUUCUCUAACUUUUCAUGUGCUCACAUAUCCAAGUUGAAAAGCCCCUGGAAAACCAAAUGUCUCGCCACCCUCUGAGCUUCUGACAAGCCGUCUGUUCCUGCAUGGGCUGCAGGGCAGAAAGAUGUGGAGGACAAAAAGGAAGAUUGAUUUCCAGCCUUUUGGGGGAUCUGCGCGCUUAUGCCCUCCUACCAGGAUCUCUUGACUUUCCUCACCGUGAAUUUCCACAACUUAAUGCAAUUGCAGUUUCAGACAGAAGCAUGCACAUUUCAAUUUACACACGGAUUACCUGCCAUUUUGAAUUAACAUCUGCAGCUGUUCAUUAUCGGGAUAAUUUGCAAGGAGUGUUGGAGGUUAGAGGGGUUUGUCACUAUUAGCAUCACUGUCAAAAACUCAUCCUGAAAAGAUGAUUGUAGAGAUGAAAAAAAAGUUCACAAAAAUAAAAUGCAGCUUCACAGUAAUAACUUCCAGUGAAAGAAUGGACUCCAAAAGAGGCUGAAUAAAUUCAGCUCACAGCAUGUUUCUUCAUUGAAUGUUUUCAUUAUAGCAAAUUAAGCUUUAAAACUUAGCAAACUAGGCAGUGAUGCUGCAUAGCUUUUACAAUGAAGGAGAAAAUCAUCAAAUCAUGUAAUUUGGUAUUGCUAAAAUGUUUCUAUGG
This 842-nucleotide long non-coding RNA is filed under the name Homo sapiens (human). RNAcentral describes it as "HSALNT0024098". The record is from RNAcentral. Lineage: Eukaryota; Metazoa; Chordata; Mammalia; Primates; Hominidae.